CUCUUUAAAGGUAAGUUUGGAUUCUUAUAACUAUUAAUUUAUUUGUGAAAUGCCUCUUUUUUCUCAAAUCUGAACUUGUACUGUAUGAUUUCAUAUCAGUUUUUUUUCUAUUUUGGUGUCUGUGCGGUUGAGCAUAUUAGUAGUAAGCAUAUAUAUAUGUUGAAUGUCCUAAUGUGAGAACUCUUGUUAGUAUACUUGAUUGAAAAUAAAAUGAGGUGAGAUGAUGACUGUUAUUGUAGAAAAGUCAUUUGCAUCUCAUUCUGUAAAGAAUGGAUUGCAACUGAAUCUUGGAAGCAAGUUGUUGUUUUUAUUGACUUGAAUAGCAGUAGGAAAUAGGAAUAAAAAUUCUCGUUUAAGUGCACUAAUACCACAUAUUAAAUAACUGCCAAGUGUAUAAGUAUAUUCCAAACCACGGUAUUCAUUCUUUGUGCAUGUAGUUUGUUUUUUUCCCAUUCUAUGAUGAAGUCUUUUUGCUUAAACAAGACUAUUGUUUCAUCUUUUCCAUUUAUCCUUAACUUGUCUCCUACUGUCUUGAUUGUAUUUCCACAUUAAUGAAAUGAAAUAGGCCUGCUUGUAGUUGGAUUAAUGUGCAAAUGUGUGCCUAUUAUUCUGUCUCUUGCGAUAGCUUUUGUGAAUGGAAACUAAUAUAGAGUGUUUCAAGAGAUUUUGGAAUAUGAAAGUUCAUUCUAAAAAUUAAAAAGAGAGCUGAAAGAUUGCUGCAAAAAUGAAUACAAUGUAAUCUUUUAGGACUGAAAGGUUUAGUGUAAGUAAAUAUACUGUAUACAAGAAAAGUUAGAUAGACAACAUGAUUUGAAUCUGAUUUGUCUAAGUUGUUUACUGAUUCAAAUAUUGAGUUGAUGUUAUACAUGAAGGUAUGUUUGGGGUACACAUAGGUGUGUUAGAUACACUGAUUUUGUUAGGAGAAAACUAAUUCAGUUAGUACUAUACUUGCUUUUGCUAGCUUGAUGACUUAAACCUUAAAAAAAUAAAAUUACACAAGCGUACGUAUAUACUCACUGUUUGAUUAAUUGAACAUUAGAACAAAAAGAUAGUAACAUUAAAUAAACAUAGUAUUACAUUUUAUUCAAAACAAAAUUUUAGUUCUUACUCUUUUUUGUUGUUAUACUAAUAUGAUUGUUAUGUAUUUUUCGUGAUUCAAGACUAUGGCACCUAAUAAAGAAUGGAUGCAACUUUUUGAUGAUCGACUUGAUAAUGCUUAUGUGCUUGGGGUGGAGAAAUUUUUGAAUUAUGCUUUUACAAAGUUAGGAGAAAAAAAAGAAAUACGUUGUCCAUGUAUGAAAUGUUGUAAUGCAUCUUCAAGAACUCGUGAGAUGGUUAGGUCACAUUUAUUGGUACAUGGAAUUGUCCGAAGUAAUACUUUUUGGUAUCAUCAUGGGAAGAGGUUACAUGAACCAGAAUCAGAUUCUGAAUUUGUAGACCAUAAUGACAUUGAAAGGGAUGAUGAGGAGGAUGAAAUACAUGAGAUUUUAGGGGAUUUAUAUCCUAAUUUGAAUGAAGUCAAUAUGAACACUGGUGGUGAUGAUAUUUUUGAGGAGGAACCAAAUCCUGAAGCAAAACGAUUCUAUAGUCAUUUAAAAGAUUUUGAGCAACCAAUCUAUGAAGGUUCCAAAGCUUCUAAACUUUCUACUUUGGUCAAAUUACUUCAUAUAAAAAGUAUUGGUAAAUGGAGUAGUGCGUCAUUUACAAUGUUGUUGAAGAUGCUGAAGGAAGAUUUAUUGCCAAAUGGAUCAAAUUUGCCAAGUUCAUAUUACAAUGCAAAAAAGAUAAUUCGGGAGCUUGGAUUUUCUUACCAGAAAAUUGAUGCAUGUAAGAAUAAUUGCAUGUUGUAUUGGAAGGAUGACGUGCUUCUUGAAUCUUGCAAAGUAUGUGGAAUGUCUAGAUGGAAGGAGGAUAAACGUAAUAGGGAAACAAAAUUUAAGCGUGGGAAAAAGAUACCAUGCAAGAUUUUGUGUUAUUUUCCUCUAAAGCCAAGACUUCAAAGACUGUUUGUCUUCAAAAAAAUCUUCUUUGAUGAGGUGGCAUCAUGAUGAGAGAGUUGAUGAUGGAAUAAUGAGGCAUCCUGCUGAUUCAGUAGCUUGGAAGACACUGGAUGAACUUCACCCAUCUUUUGCUACUGAACCGCGUAAUGUUCGACUUGGACUUGCUAGUGAUGGUUUUCAACCUUUUAAAAGUACAAAAACUCCACAUAACAUUUGGCCUGUGGUAUUGAUUCCUUAUAACGUACCACCUUGGUUAUGCAUGAAGCAAGAAAAUUUUAUUUUAUCGAUGCUUAUUCCAGGCCCUAAAAGUCCCGGAGAUGCAAUUGAUGUUUAUUUCCAACCUUUGAUAGAAGAAUUAAAGGAAUUGUGGGAAACUGGUGUGAAGACCUUCGAUGCAUCAUCUAGACAAAAUUUUAUGUUACAUGCAUCUUUGUUAUGGACCAUUAAUGACUUUCCUGCGUAUGCAAAUUUGUCAGGAUGGAGUACCAAAGGAAAAUUGGCUUGCCCAUGUUGUAAUAAAGAAACUCUUUCAAUUUGGUUGAAAAAUGGGAAUAAACAGUGUUAUAUGCGCCAUAGACGCUUUCUUCCUCGUAUUAACAAAUGGAGGAAUGAUAAAGAUUCUUUUGAUGGCACUAAAGAGCAUAAAUUACCACCAAAAAUGCUAUCUGGUAAUGAUAUACUUGAUCAAGUGGCUGAUUUAGAUGGUAACAUACUAUCAAAGGAUCCAAAGAAAGAGACUAAAAUAUCACAUGAUAAUACGGGUGAUAAUUGGAAUAAGAAGAGCAUUUUCUUUGAUCUUCCAUAUUGGAAAACUCUAUUGUUGCGAGAUAACUUAGAUGUGAUGCACAUUGAGAAAAAUAUAUGUGAUAACAUUUUGGGAACAAUCUUAAAUGUCAAAGGAAAAACCAAAGAUACCAUAAAUUCUCGAUUGGAUUUGGAAGUAAUAGACAUAAAGAAAGAAUUGCAUCCGAUAAAAAAGGGGGAUAAAUAUGAGUUACCAACUGCAUGUUAACAUUAUCACCUGAAGAGAAGCAUAAAUUUUUCAAUUUCUUAAAGAAUUUGAAGGUCCCAGAUGGAUUUUUAUCCAAUAAAUCUCAGUGUGUCAAUCUUAAAGAUCGCAAACUUUCAGGAUUGAAAAGUCAUGAUUGCCACGUUAUUCUACAACAUCUACUCCCACUUGCAAUACGUGGUAUGCUUCGCAAAUAUGUACUUGAACCACUUAUUGAGUUGUCUAUAUUUUUCAACAUGCUCGGAGCAAAAUGUUUGAGAGUAGAUGAGCUAGAGAAAAUAGAAGCCCAAAUUCCUAUAACUCUAUGCAAGUUAGAAAAGGUUUUCAUUCCUGCAACGGAAUGUAUGACUUUAUGUUCAAGGUAUUUGCAUACGGUGGAAACAAGAUUUAAUCGCACUGAGCGGAAUUAUAAUGGCGGUUCUAUUGAAUCUGAUGGAGGUUUAACAAUUUUUUUUCAACUUGGAAAAACUUUAAAUAGUGCCACACCAGGAAGUCUUGAAUCAGACGAAUUUGAGCAGGCACACUUUUAUAUUCUAAAGAAUUGUGAUGAAAUUCAACAAUUUCUUGAGUAAGUAAUAACUAAUUCAAAUAAUUGACUUUUACCUUUCCAUAUUUCCAUACUUAAAAUGACAUAUUAUACUUUAAAUUCUUUGUAGAGAAUUUUCACAAGUUCCAUUUGAUACCUCUAAGAAUGAUUCAGAGAUCGAAUGGAAUAGACAAUUCAUUAGUUGGUUACAAAUUAAGGUGAGUAGUUAAGAUUUUAUAUUUUAAAUUAAUUUGCGAAUAACAUUUGCUAAAUUGUGUAUACAUACUUAGUUUGAUAGGUUGCAGAAUUGCGCAAACAUGAUGAUAGUAAGCAAAUAGAAUAUUUGUUCUCACUGUCACGUGGUCCUCUGCCAUAUGUGACAAGUUUCAAAAGCUAUGUUACUAAUGGAUAUAGAUUUCAAGUGCAAGACCAUGAUAAAGGCUUGAGAACUCAAAAUUGCGAGGUGAUUGUAGUUGGUGAGACUGAUGAAGAGAAUAAAACUAUUGAUUACUAUGGAGAGUUAACUGAAAUUCUUGAAUUACAAUUUGUUGGUGGAAGAAGAGUGAUGUUGUUUCGAUGUGCAUGGUUUGAUGUGUAUGACCAAGAAAGGGAAUUAAAGUAGAUGAAUAUGGCUUCGUAAGUGUUUACCGAAAAUGAUUAUUGAAAGUAAAUGAGCCUUUUGUAUUAGCCAACCAAGCAUCACAAGUAUUUUAUGUUGACAAUCUUUCGAAUAAAGGAUGGCAUGUUGUGCGAAAGGUUCAACCUCGUGAUUCUUUUGAUGUUGGUGAAAACACUAAUGGUGAUUUAGAUAAUCUGUCAGAAAUCUAGGAAGUUGUUGGGUAUGGAAGAGUUAGUUGAAGCAAUUACAAGGAUGGUUGUUAGUCUCUCAUAAUAAUUUAAUGGAUUGAUGGAAUUUAUUGAUUUUAUAAGUUUCACUUUAUGAUUUUCAUUUUAGGAUAUUAUAUUUUGUUACUGUGUACUCAUGUUAGACUUUUGAGUUCUCAUUUUGUUACUAUGGUGUUUAUGGAUCCCAAAAUACUCUUCGCUGUUUUGUUUUCUCUUUUCAAGUAUUUACUUCAUGAUUUUUUGAUUGAUUCUUACAUAUGAUUCUAUAUUAAAGUAUUUUCUUUAUUGUUCUCUUACUGAUUUUUACAGAUUUGUUCUUAGUGUCUGUUUAGAUAAUAAUUCUUGUAUAGUAUUUAGCAAGGUGUAGAUCAUCUCUUAGAGAAUGUUGAAAGAUGGUCAUUAAUUGACUCACAACUUACAUGAACAGAAGCCCUUGAUGCCUCUAGAAAAUAUGUUUUUAGGUAAGUUUUUAAGAAACAAAACCUCAUGAAAACUUAUUACUAGAACUAAAUUAGUUAUUUUAUUAUGGUGUUGUCUUAUGCGGUUCAGUUGCCACAAAGUACCUAUAGUUUUGCCAAUAAGAUAACAUGAAUCAAGUAUGAUAGUUUAGAUGAUUUUUAACCUCACUUUAUGUACUCUCCUGUAUAUGGUGGACUUGUUGGAGUAAAAGAACAAAAGGCAAUACUCCAGAAUCAGUACAAAGAUUAAAUGGUACUGCAUGAGAACAUUUUGUUUUUUUUUUUGUGUAAAGAGGAUAGUCUAUCAUUGAUGCAUAACAACUUUACAAAUUGCUAUUAUGCGUAUAUAAGGCAUGAAACAAAUCAAACUUCUUCCAAAAAUCAUAACAUAAGCUCUACAAAAGUUCUAACCCCUAAAACCCUAAAAUACAACAAAAUCCAAAAUCAAACACCCAAAACAACUGCAAAAAAAAACAUAUAAUAACAAGUUAACAAACUUACAACUAUAGAGUGAAAUGUGAACUCAAACACCUCAGAAAAAACCAAAAACAAAUUGUAGUAAUCAACAAUGGAAUAGGACCAAGAGAGAGUAUGAGGGUUUGGUUGAAAUGAAAAAGAAAGAAAUGGAGGUAUGAAAUAAAAAAGAAAUUCGUUUUAACAUGUCAUUUCCUAUGUAACUUUUUAAAAUUAUGUGGAAAGCUUCGUGGAUGCGUUUGUAAUUUACGCACCACUACGUAGUUCAAAAAGGGUUUAAAAUGUUCUGUUUCACUGGGUUCGAGGAUUCAGUUGGCAAAGUGGUGAGUAGAAGGGUUUAGGUGACAAAUGAAGUCAAUUACAUGGGCCUCCCUCACCAUUCUGCCUUGUCACAACCCAAAGUAUAUCCUAGGCGUAACAUGGCGUGUAGGUCCUCGAGAGGCCCCACACAAGCCACUAAGCAUGCAUAAACAAGAUACUAGAAAAUCAAGAGAUUUUAAAAGACAAUUCAUAUCAUAAAGAUUUUUGUAAAAGAAAGCGGAAAUUUAUAUAGUCUUAAAGUCAUCUAUCAAUCAACAACAAUCGGGACGUAACCCUGGCAUAACGUACAACAUUUGAAAUGUAAAGACAAAAUGCAAUAAUAGGUUUGAUCCUCGAAACACGAGGACUCACCAAUGUUCAAUAGCUACUAAGUGAUCCCUAGUCACAGAGAUGGGAAGCUGGAGUGUCAGACCCUACAUUUGGGAACAAUGUAGGCAAGAGUAUUCAUGAGUACAAGAAUGUACCACGUAUGAUAGCAAUGCAUAGAGCUACAAAAUCAUGCUAAAAAAACAUUUCAUGUCAUGCAAAGACCAAGUUAAAACAAUAAGAAAAAAGUUAGAAAACAUCAUAGUAAUCAUGGUCAAAUGCAAGUAAAACUCAUCUUUGCACACUUGUGAGAUACUUCUUGAAGUAGCCUUUAUUUUGUAGGAAAAACAGAGGUUCUUUAACUACAAAACUUAGAGCUGAUGAAAGAAGAUGAAGGAAAUACUUUGUAGAAGUGCUUACUUUAUUAACUGGAAAUAUCUGCCUUUAUAGGCUUACAGACUCUGGAAGAUAAUAAAUGUCCAUGACUUCCACUUGACCAGAAACUAGGAAAGUGACAGAAAAAUAGCAACCAAAUAACAACCUAACAAAGACUCUUUCAACUCUUGUAAAAGACUUAUUCAAACUCAUAGUAAAUAAUCAGUAACUUAGUAACUUAGACUCUUUUUUUUAAUCAAUUCUCAACACUCCCCCUUGAUUCAAAAUCACAUACUCCAAGGUAUAACAUAAAGUAAUUGUGCUUUUCCUGAGGAAGUGCUUUAGUAAGAAUAUCUGCCACCUGUUCUUCUGUGCUACAACUCUUCAACUCAAUCACCCCUUCUGCAACCAGAUCACAGAUGAAAUGAUGCCGAAUAUCUAUGUGCUUUGAUCUUCCAUGACAAACAUGAUUUUUGACCAAUGCAUUUGCUGAUAAAUUAUCACAAAAAAUUUUUGCUGCUCCCUUUUGUUCUUGGUGAAGAUCAGCAAGCAAUUUCCUCAGCCACAACACUUGACAUGUUGAAAAUGCUGUUGCAACAUAUUCAGCCUCGGAAGAAGACACCAAUGUUGUUGAUUGUUUCUUUGAGCUCCAAGUAAUAGCUGCAGAACCAAGAGUGAAAAGGUUCCCAGAAACACUCUUUCUAUCGUUCACAUUCCCCGCCCAAUCACUAUCUGAAAAAUCAUAGAGAUUAAAAUUAGUACUUCGAAAGUACCAUAGUCCAAAUCCUGUAGUUCCAACAACAUAGCGCAAGACUCUUUUAGCUGCACCAAGAUAAUGCUUCGAAGGCAUAUGAAUAAACCUUGAAAUGAUUCCAACAGAAAAUGAUAUAUCAGGACGAGUGUGCGUCAAAUAAAUUAAGCCUCCAACUAAACUUCUAAAAUAACUUCCUUUAGCUUUUUCAAUACCAUCAUCAAGUUGCAGCUUCUCAUUUACAUUCAUAGGAGUAGCCACUGUUUUGUAGUUAAGCAUGUUAAAUCUUUGAGAAGAUCAGUGGCAUACGUCCUUUGAGAUAUGAAAAUUCCAUCUUCUUCCUGCUUCCCUUCAAGUCCAAGAAAAUAAUGCAACACUCCCAAAUUUGUCAUUUCAAAUGUUUUCAUCAUAGAAGAUUUGAAAUCAUAUACAUAAGACUAAGAUGAACCCAUAUAGAUCCUAUCAUCAACAUACAAACACACCAAUAAUAGAUCAUUUUUUUCAUAUUUCUUCACAUAUAAAGUUGGUUCAUUCUUACUUCUUUCAAAACCAUUUUCUCUGCAAUGUGAAUCGAUUUUGUUGUACCAUGUGCAAGGAGCUUGUUUUAGCCCAUAGAGUGAUUUCCUCAACUUGUAUACUUUGCUAUCCUUUCCUUUCUCCACAUAACCAUCUAGAUGCGUUACAUACACUUCUUCUUCCAAAUCACCAUUAUGGAAUGUAGACUUAACAUCAAAUUGAUAAACCUUUCGCUUUAAUUGUACAGCCAAAGCUAAAAGGAUUCUUACUAUUUCAAAGCGAGCAACUGGAGAGAAAGAUUUGUCAAAGUCAAUGCCUUGUUGUUGUGAAUAUCCUUUUGCGACCAAUCUGGCUUUGUGUUUCUGCACACUUCCGUCAAAAUGGUACUUUGUCUUGAACACCUAUUUUUCUCCGAUAACAUUUUUUCCAUCUGGAAGGUCCACCAAGUCCCAUG
RNAcentral lists this long non-coding RNA (8036 nucleotides) under Solanum tuberosum (potato). RNAcentral's name for it is "long non-coding RNA (STUB_LNC010813)". Lineage: Eukaryota; Viridiplantae; Streptophyta; Magnoliopsida; Solanales; Solanaceae. The record is from RNAcentral.